RNAcentral lists this ribosomal RNA (2895 nucleotides) under Clostridioides difficile. RNAcentral's name for it is "bacterial LSU rRNA". It matches the Rfam family "Bacterial large subunit ribosomal RNA". The record is from RNAcentral. Lineage: Bacteria; Bacillati; Bacillota; Clostridia; Peptostreptococcales; Peptostreptococcaceae.
UCAAGUUAUUAAGGGUGCAGGGCGGAUGCCUUGGCACUAGGAGCCGAUGAAGGACGUGAUAAGCUGCGAUAAGCUUCGGGGAGUUGCACGUAAACUUUGAUCCGAAGAUUUCCGAAUGAGGAAACUCACUUAGAGUAAUGUCUAAGUAUCAUUAAGUGAAUACAUAGCUUAAUGAGGGGAACUCAGGGAACUGAAACAUCUAAGUACCUGAAGGAAGAGAAAGAAAUUCGAUUCCGUAAGUAGCGGCGAGCGAACGCGGAUUAGCCCAAACCAAUAAAGUUUUCUUUAUUGGGGUUGCGGACAUAUCAUAACGAAGAGGUAUCGUAAUUGAAGAGGUUUGGAAAGACACACCACAGAAGGUAAUAGUCCUGUAUGUUAAACGAGAAGACUUCAGAUAUGAUCCAGAGUACCACGGGACACGUGAAACCCUGUGGGAAGCAGGAGGGACCACCCUCCAAGGCUAAAUACUACCUAGUGACCGAUAGCGUAUAGUACCGUGAGGGAAAGGUGAAAAGAACCCCGGGAGGGGAGUGAAAUAGAACCUGAAACCCUGCACUUACAAGCUGUGGAAGCACAUUUCUUGUGUGACCGCGUACUUUUUGUAGAACGGGCCAACGAGUUACGUUAAGUAGCAAGGUUAAGCACUUAAGGUGCGGAGCCGUAGCGAAAGCGAGUUUUAACUGAGCGUUCAGUUACUUGACGUAGACCCGAAACCGGGCGACCUACCCAUGAGCAGGAUGAAGCGAAAGUAAAAUUUCGUGGAGGUCCGAACCCACGAGCGUUGAAAAGCUCGGGGAUGACUUGUGGGUAGCGGUGAAAUUCCAAUCGAGCCCGGAGAUAGCUGGUUCUCCCCGAAAUAGCUUUAGGGCUAGCCUCAAGGUGAGAGAUACGGAGGUAGAGCACUGAAUGUCCUAGGGGGUAUUGCACCUACCGAAGACUAUCAAACUCCGAAUGCCGUCAUCUUAUACUUGGGAGUCAGACUGUGGGUGAUAAGAUUCAUAGUCGAAAGGGCAACAGCCCAGAUCGUCAGCUAAGGUCCCUAAAUGUAAGUUAAGUGGUAAAGGAUGUGGGAUUGCACAGACAACCAGGAUGUUGGCUUAGAAGCAGCCACUCAUUCAAAGAGUGCGUAAUAGCUCACUGGUCGAGUGAUCCUGCGCCGAAGAUUUCCGGGGCUAAAACUUACUACCGAAGCUACGGCAUCAUUAUGAUGGGUAGGGGAGCUUCCCAUACGGGUUGAAGCAUGACCGUAAGGACAUGUGGACAGUAUGGGAGUGAGAAUGUUGGCAUGAGUAGCGAGAUGUGGGUGAGAAUCCCACAGGCCGUAAACCCAAGGUUUCCAGGGGAAGGUUCGUCCGCCCUGGGUUAGUCGGGACCUAAGCUGAGGCCGAAAGGCGUAGGUGAUGGACAACAGGUUGAUAUUCCUGUACUACCGAUAACCAUUUGAGAGAAGGGAUGACACAGUAGGAUAAGCUAAGCACACUGUUGGUUAUGUGUGCCCAAGCAUUGAGGCAGUCAAAGUAGGCAAAUCCGCUUUGAUAAUGCUGGGAUGUGAUGGGGAGCGAAAUUUAGUAGCGAAGUAGCUGAUUUCACACUGUCAAGAAAAGUCUCUAUCGAGGUUAAAGGUACCCGUACCGCAAACCGACACAGGUGGGUGAGGAGAGUAUCCUAAGGCCAGCGAGAGAACUGUUGUUAAGGAACUCGGCAAAAUGACCCCGUAACUUAGGGAUAAGGGGUGCCACCAUCAGGUGGCCGCAGAGAAUAGGCCCAAGCGACUGUUUACCAAAAACAUAGGUUUCUGCUAAGUCGCAAGACGAUGUAUAGGAGCUGACGCCUGCCCGGUGCUGGAAGGUUAAGGGGAUCUGUUAGAGCAAUCGAAGCAGUGAACUUAAGCCCCAGUAAACGGCGGCCGUAACUAUAACGGUCCUAAGGUAGCGAAAUUCCUUGUCGGGUAAGUUCCGACCCGCACGAAAGGCGUAACGAUUUGGGCACUGUCUCAACAACAGACUCGGUGAAAUUGUAAUUCCGGUGAAGAUGCCGGAUACCUGCGACAGGACGGAAAGACCCCAUGGAGCUUUACUGUAGCUUGACAUUGGGUCUUGGUACUACAUGUACAGGAUAGGUGGGAGGCUUUGAAACCAGGACGCCAGUUUUGGCGGAGCCAUCCUUGGGAUACCACCCUUGUAGUACUGGGACUCUAACCAUAGGCCAUGAAUCUGGUCUUGGGACACUGUCAGGUGGGCAGUUUGACUGGGGCGGUCGCCUCCCAAAAGGUAACGGAGGCGCUCAAAGGUUCUCUCAGUACGGUCGGAAAUCGUACGUAGAGUGUAAAGGCAAAAGAGAGCUUGAUUGCAAGACAUACAGGUCGAGCAAGGAUGAAAAUCGGACUUAGUGAUCCGGUGGUUCUGCGUGGAAGGGCCAUCGCUCAACGGAUAAAAGCUACCCUGGGGAUAACAGGCUUAUCUCCCCCAAGAGUCCACAUCGACGGGGAGGUUUGGCACCUCGAUGUCGGCUCAUCACAUCCUGGGGCUGUAGUAGGUCCCAAGGGUUGGGCUGUUCGCCCAUUAAAGUGGUACGCGAGCUGGGUUCAGAACGUCGUGAGACAGUUCGGUCCCUAUCCGUCGCAGGCGUAGGAAAUUUGAGAAGACCUGUCCUUAGUACGAGAGGACCGGGAUGGACGUACCUCUGGUGUACCAGUUGUUCUGCCAAGGGCAUGGCUGGGUAGCUAUGUACGGAAUGGAUAAGCGCUGAAAGCAUCUAAGCGCGAAGCCAACUUCAAGAUAAGAUUUCCCACCGCAAGGGUAAGACUCCAGAAAGACUAUCUGGUUGAUAGGUCGAAGGUGUAAGUGCAGCAAUGUAUUUAGCUUAUCGAUACUAAUAGGUCGAGGACUUGACCAA